GUUGUAUUCAGCAUUUCACUGUGAGGUCUACUACACCUGUUGUAUUCAGCAUUUCACUGUAAGGUCUACUACACCUGUUGUAUUCAGCAUUUCACUGUAAGGUCUACUACACCUGUUGUAUUCAGCAUUUCACUGUCAGGUCUACUACACCUGUUGUAUUCAGCAUUUCACUGUAAGGUCUACUACAUCUGUUGUAUUCAGCAUUUCACUGUGAGGUCUACUACACCUGUUGUAUUCAGCAUUUCACUGUAAGGUCUACUACACCUGUUGUAUUCAGCAUUUC
Molecule: long non-coding RNA, 283 nt
Organism: Oncorhynchus tshawytscha (Chinook salmon)
Lineage: Eukaryota; Metazoa; Chordata; Actinopteri; Salmoniformes; Salmonidae
Source: Ensembl